GAAUAUUGCGCAAUGGGCGAAAGCCUGACGCAGCGACGCCGCGUGGAGGAUGAAGGCCUUCGGGUCGUAAACUCCUGUCGAGGGGGACGAAAUGAUCUUCCGCGAAUAACGGAAGAUCUUGACUGUACCCCUGGAGGAAGCCCCGGCUAACUCCGUGCCCGCAGCCGCGGUAAUACGGAGGGGGCCAGCGUUGCUCGGAAUUACUGGGCGUAAAGGGCUCGUAGGCGGUCUGAUAAGUCCUGUGUGAAAUCCCUUGGCUCAACCAAGGAAUUGCGCAGGAUACUGUCGGACUAGAGGCCGGGAGAGGGAAGUGGAAUUCCCAGUGUAGCGGUGAAAUGCGUAGAUAUUGGGAGGAACACCGGUGGCGAAGGCGGCUUCCUGGACCGGUUCUGACGCUGAGGAGCGAAAGCUAGAGGAGCGAAAGGG
This 426-nucleotide ribosomal RNA is filed under the name uncultured bacterium. RNAcentral describes it as "bacterial SSU rRNA". It matches the Rfam family "Bacterial small subunit ribosomal RNA", at positions 359 to 776 of the family's 1533-position model. The record is from RNAcentral.